GGAGGAUGAGAAAGGGAGAAGGAGCCAGGGGAGUCCAGGGAGAGGAAGCAAAGGGAGAGGGAGAGACUGAAGAGAGGAACGGCAAAGACUGGAAAAGAUAGCAAGGGGUGAAUCAGGAAGCAGAGAAGGGGAAAUAAAAGGAGAGGAGAAAAUGAAUCCAAAGAGGAUGCCAAAAAGGAGGAAGGAGAGAGGUCUGGUAGAGAGGCAGACCCGGAAAACGAACGUGGGCGAGGAGGUGCUCCAUAUGUCCUGAACCCCCUCUAUGCCCUGAGCCAAAGGGGUGCCUGUAGUCUGACUCCUUGACCCACUCCUCCCCACCUUUAUCCCUGCUGCCUGCUCCCGGUGGACUGAUGCAGGAUGCAGGCUUGGGAGAAUUGAAAGAGAUGACCCACAGGAAAAGCAUCUACCACACGAUAACACGGUGCAGGCUGUUGAUUAGGAAACGCAGCCUCCCUUGAGUUUCUGUGUGGGUGAACCUGGCUCCUGGGGCCCCGGGUGGGGCUGCCAGGCUUCAGAAUCUGCACACUGCUUCACCACCCCCGCAGCCUGUGAUCCCAAGCCAGGCCCUCUGAUCCGGCAGCUGUCAACACAAGCACACUCCAAUGCUUUCUGCUUUGCUGUUGGCCUCCCUCUGGAAGCUUUGAACACUAGUGAGAUCAUCAUUGUCAAACUCUCUGGGCUCUGGUGCAAGGGCAGUCAGAUAAGGAGGAAUAUGACGUGCCAACCCUCCACUUUGGUCCCCGGCCCCCAGCUUCACCUUGCUGACCUCUGGCUCCUGCUUAGCUCAGGAACUGUGGGCUCAGAACAAAGUUUAGGUUCUUCUUCUCUGAUUCACCCCUUUCUCCUUCCUGAUUACUGGCAUGGAGCCACGCACCGCAGGAAAGAAAUCGGGUAACUUUACAGAUGGGAGGAAUGAAAUGGUGCUUGUAGGGGCCUAUGUUGUGCUGGGCACCAAAGUAAACUGCCAGAGGACAGGGACCUUGUCUGCAUGGCCCACAGAACUAUCCUAGGACAGUGCUGGCACAUGUUGAGUUCAUGAAAUGAAUGAGUCAUUUGAUAUUGUGAAUAUGCAUUCACUUAUUCACAUCUUAUGAUUAAAAAAAGCUGUUAUUCCAUUUUAUGGAAAGGGCAACUGAGACACAAAAUCACAGGCAGGAAGUGAUCAAACCAGGGGCUGAAUCCAGAGCAAUCUGUCUCCAAAGCAUGCGUUCCUUCCACUGCAGCCCGUGGCCUCCAGGCAUCCUGCCCGUCAAUGCCUGAGGCACCAGGGAGUCAGGAAUGGCAGAGACUGAAACCCGUGAUUCCUGCUGGACCUUCUCCUUACCUCCUAGAUUCUGGAGCGGGCACCCCACAGAGCACUCCGUUUGAGGUGGCCCAUUCAUUUCUGGGCUCCUUGCCAUUGGCAUUGUCCUCUAGCUCUGGACUUCAAGCUAUGCCUCUCUCAGACCCUCAGCCCCAGCCCGCUGCUCUACUUGGGACUUUGAAGAUGAGGUCAUGUGCCUCAGAACUUCUCUCACCUCAGCUCUCAGGACCCCAGCCCUACCUUCUCUGCCCCCCUCCCCUCUAACCCUCCAGCAACGUGGGCUUCCUCUGGGGACCUCAUGUUCAACCCUGACAAACAGCAGAGCCCAGGGAAAAGAGAACCAGGUUCCGCUCUCCUGCCAUGUACCAGUUAGAUGACUCUGGGCAAUUCUUUUCACCUCUCCAGGUCUCAGGUUUCUCAACUGGAAAAUGGGGAUUUUUAAAAAAAAUUCAUGCCUCACUUCCAAGGCUGUCAUGAGAAUGGAUUAAGGCAAAAGCUGUGAAAGUGCUUUACAAAUGAGAAAGCCUCCUAUUCUUCACUUUCUUCUGAUGGCAGAUCCCCAGCUCUCCUUCCCAAGGUUCUUGCUUUCCUGGCACAAUGUACCCUGAGCACUGCAGGUGCCUGUCCAUCUUCGCUUCAUGAAGAACCAUGAUAUGUCACCAUUUAAAAUCCAAAUAAAGCUUCACGAGUGAAUCUGCUUACGGGAGACAGAAUAAAGCAAUGGCCAAGAGCUCUAGCAAGAGUAAAAAAUCAAGUCUCCAAAUUUUAGCUCUUCCACUUACUAACAGUGUUAACUUUGAACAAUCAUUUUAUUUCUCUAAGCCUCAGUUUCCCCAUCUAUAAAGUGGGAUGAUAAUGAUACCUGUCUUAUCAGGUAGAUAAUGUAUAUGUGGCACUAGGGACACAUUAAAUACCCAAUAAAUGGCUACUAUUGUUAUCUCCUCUUAUUUUAGUCUCUACUCUUGAAAAAUGAAUCAGUUGUCAGACUUCAUAGCUUGUUACCUCUCUCUCCAUGGUCCCAUUGUCAGUUCCUUGGUGCAUAUCCUUGUUUUCUCCUCCUUCAUUGAUGACCACAGCC
Long non-coding RNA from Cercocebus atys (sooty mangabey), 2381 nucleotides. RefSeq lists it as uncharacterized. The transcript has 3 exons. NCBI's taxonomy places the organism in Eukaryota, Metazoa, Chordata, Mammalia, Primates, Cercopithecidae. The record is from RefSeq and is a predicted model, not a curated record.